CCUACGGGCGGCUGCAGUGAGGAAUAUUGGUCAAUGGGCGCGAGCCUGAACCAGCCAAGUAGCGUGAAGGAUGACUGCCCUACGGGUUGUAAACUUCUUUUAUAAAGGAAUAAAGUGAGGCACGUGUGCCUUUUUGUAUGUACUUUAUGAAUAAGGAUCGGGUAACUCUGUGCCAGCAGCCGCGGUAAUACGGAGGAUCCGAUCGUUAUCCGGAUUUAUUGGGUUUAAAGGGAGCGUAGAUGGGUUGUUAAGUCAGUUGUGAAAGUUUGCGGCUCAACCGUAAAAUUGCAAGUGAUACCGGCAGUCUUGAGGACAGUUGAGGUAGGGGGAAGGCGUGGGGGAGCGGGGAAAUGGGGAGAG
This 360-nucleotide ribosomal RNA is filed under the name uncultured bacterium. RNAcentral's name for it is "partial 16S ribosomal RNA". It matches the Rfam family "Bacterial small subunit ribosomal RNA", at positions 338 to 695 of the family's 1533-position model. The record is from RNAcentral.